RNAcentral lists this ribosomal RNA (433 nucleotides) under uncultured bacterium. RNAcentral describes it as "partial 16S ribosomal RNA". It matches the Rfam family "Bacterial small subunit ribosomal RNA", at positions 29 to 507 of the family's 1533-position model. The record is from RNAcentral.
AACGAACGCUGGCGGCAUGCCUAACACAUGCAAGUCGAACGAGACCUUCGGGUCUAGUGGCGCACGGGUGCGUAACGCGUGGGAACCUGCCCUUAGGUUCGGAAUAACUCCCCGAAAGGGGUGCUAAUACCGGAUAAUGUCUUCGGACCAAAGAUUUAUCGCCUUUGGAUGGGCCCGCGUUGGAUUAGCUAGUUGGUAGGGUAAAAGCCUACCAAGGCGACGAUCCAUAGCUGGUCUGAGAGGAUGAUCAGCCACACUGGGACUGAGACACGGCCCAGACUCCUACGGGAGGCAGCAGUGGGGAAUAUUGGACAAUGGGCGAAAGCCUGAUCCAGCAAUGCCGCGUGAGUGAUGAAGGCCUUAGGGUUGAAAAGCUCUUUUACCCGGGAUGAUAAUGACAGUACCGGGAGAAUAAGCGCCGGCUAACUCCGUG